UACGUAGGGUGCGAGCGUUAAUCGGAAUUACUGGGCGUAAAGCGUGCGUAGGCGGUUGGCAAAGUCAGCUGUGAAAGCCCCGGGCUUAACCUGGGAAUGGCGGUUGAAACUAGUCGACUAGAAUCUGGCAGAGGGGGGUGGAAUUCCACGUGUAGCAGUGAAAUGCGUAGAGAUGUGGAGGAACACCGAUGGCGAAGGCAGCCCCCUGGGCUAACACUGACGCUCAUGCACGAAAGCGUGGGGAGCAAACAGG
RNAcentral lists this ribosomal RNA (253 nucleotides) under uncultured bacterium. RNAcentral describes it as "partial 16S ribosomal RNA". It matches the Rfam family "Bacterial small subunit ribosomal RNA", at positions 524 to 776 of the family's 1533-position model. The record is from RNAcentral.